CUGCUUGCUUCAGCAGCACAUAUACUAAAAUUGGAACGAUAAAGAGAAGAUUAGCAUGGCCCCUGUACAAGGUUGACACACAAAUUCAUGGAGCGUUCCAUAUUUUU
This 107-nucleotide small nuclear RNA is filed under the name Mus spretus (western wild mouse). Lineage: Eukaryota; Metazoa; Chordata; Mammalia; Rodentia; Muridae. The record is from RNAcentral.